This 464-nucleotide ribosomal RNA is filed under the name Vreelandella stevensii. RNAcentral's name for it is "partial 16S ribosomal RNA". It matches the Rfam family "Bacterial small subunit ribosomal RNA", at positions 338 to 795 of the family's 1533-position model. Lineage: Bacteria; Pseudomonadati; Pseudomonadota; Gammaproteobacteria; Oceanospirillales; Halomonadaceae. The record is from RNAcentral.
CCUACGGGGGCAGCAGUGGGGAAUAUUGGACUAUGGGCGAAAGCCUGAUCCAGCCAUGCCGCGUGUGUGAAGAAGGCCUUCGGGUUGUAAAGCACUUUCAGUGGGGAAGAAAGCCUUGGGGCUAAUACCCUCGAGGAAGGACAUCACCCACAGAAGAAGCACCGGCUAACUCCGUGCCAGCAGCCGCGGUAAUACGGAGGGUGCGAGCGUUAAUCGGAAUUACUGGGCGUAAAGCGCGCGUAGGCGGUCUGAUAAGCCGGUUGUGAAAGCCCCGGGCUCAACCUGGGAACGGCAUCCGGAACUGUCAGGCUAGAGUGCAGGAGAGGAAGGUAGAAUUCCCGGUGUAGCGGUGAAAUGCGUAGAGAUCGGGAGGAAUACCAGUGGCGAAGGCGGCCUUCUGGACUGACACUGACGCUGAGGUGCGAAAGCGUGGGUAGCAAACAGGAUUAGAUACCCGAGUAGUC